CGGCAGCACGGGAGCAAUCCUGGUGGCGAGUGGCGAACGGGUGAGUAAUACAUCGGAACGUGUCCUGUAGUGGGGGAUAGCCCGGCGAAAGCCGGAUUAAUACCGCAUACGCUCUACGGAGGAAAGGGGGGGAUCUUAGGACCUCUCGCUACAGGGGCGGCCGAUGGCAGAUUAGCUAGUUGGUGGGGUAAAGGCCUACCGAGGCGACGAUCUGUAGCUGGUCUGAGAGGACGACCAGCCACACUGGGACUGAGACACGGCCCAGACUCCUACGGGAGGCAGCAGUGGGGAAUUUUGGACAAUGGGCGAAAGCCUGAUCCAGCAAUGCCGCGUGUGUGAAGAAGGCCUUCGGGUUGUAAAGCACUUUUGUCCGGAAAGAAAUCCCCUGGGAUAAUACCCCGGGGGGAUGACGGUACCGGAAGAAUAAGCACCGGCUAACUACGUGCCAGCAGCCGCGGUAAUACGUAGGGUGCAAGCGUUAAUCGGAAUUACUGGGCGUAAAGCGUGCGCAGGCGGUUCGCUAAGACAGAUGUGAAAUCCCCGGGCUUAACCUGGGAACUGCAUUUGUGACUGGCGGGCUAGAGUAUGGCAGAGGGGGGUAGAAUUCCACGUGUAGCAGUGAAAUGCGUAGAGAUGUGGAGGAAUACCGAUGGCGAAGGCAGCCCCCUGGGCCAAUACUGACGCUCAUGCACGA
RNAcentral lists this ribosomal RNA (694 nucleotides) under uncultured Burkholderia sp. Its description in RNAcentral is "bacterial SSU rRNA". It matches the Rfam family "Bacterial small subunit ribosomal RNA", at positions 67 to 756 of the family's 1533-position model. The record is from RNAcentral. Lineage: Bacteria; Pseudomonadati; Pseudomonadota; Betaproteobacteria; Burkholderiales; Burkholderiaceae.